RNAcentral lists this unclassified non-coding RNA (1943 nucleotides) under uncultured cyanobacterium. Its description in RNAcentral is "bacterial SSU rRNA". The stretch from base 1 to 1107 matches the Rfam family "Bacterial small subunit ribosomal RNA", at positions 411 to 1533 of the family's 1533-position model. Lineage: Bacteria; Bacillati; Cyanobacteriota. The record is from RNAcentral.
AAGGCCUCUGGGCUGUAAACCUCUUUUAUCAAGGAAGAAGAUCUGACGGUACUUGAUGAAUAAGCCACGGCUAAUUCCGUGCCAGCAGCCGCGGUAAUACGGGAGUGGCAAGCGUUAUCCGGAAUUAUUGGGCGUAAAGCGUCCGCAGGCGGUCUUGUAAGUCUGUCGUUAAAGCGUGGAGCUUAACUCCAUUUCGGCGGUGGAAACUACAAGACUAGAGUGUGGUAGGGGCAGAGGGAAUUCCCGGUGUAGCGGUGAAAUGCGUAGAUAUCGGGAAGAACACCAGUGGCGAAGGCGCUCUGCUGGGCCAUAACUGACGCUCAUGGACGAAAGCCAGGGGAGCGAAAGGGAUUAGAUACCCCUGUAGUCCUGGCCGUAAACGAUGAACACUAGGUGUCGGGGGAAUCGACCCCCUCGGUGUCGUAGCCAACGCGUUAAGUGUUCCGCCUGGGGAGUACGCACGCAAGUGUGAAACUCAAAGGAAUUGACGGGGGCCCGCACAAGCGGUGGAGUAUGUGGUUUAAUUCGAUGCAACGCGAAGAACCUUACCAGGGUUUGACAUCCUGCGAAUCCCUUGGAAACGAGGGAGUGCCUUCGGGAGCGCAGUGACAGGUGGUGCAUGGCUGUCGUCAGCUCGUGUCGUGAGAUGUUGGGUUAAGUCCCGCAACGAGCGCAACCCACGUUUUUAGUUGCCAGCAUUUAGUUGGGCACUCUAGAAAGACUGCCGGUGAUAAACCGGAGGAAGGUGUGGAUGACGUCAAGUCAUCAUGCCCCUUACAUCCUGGGCUACACACGUACUACAAUGCUACGGACAAAGGGCAGCAAACUCGCGAGAGCUAGCAAAUCCCAUAAACCGUGGCUCAGUUCAGAUCGUAGGCUGCAACUCGCCUACGUGAAGGAGGAAUCGCUAGUAAUCGCAGGUCAGCAUACUGCGGUGAAUACGUUCCCGGGCCUUGUACACACCGCCCGUCACACCAUGGAAGUUGGCCACGCCCGAAGUCGUUACUGCAACCCUUGUGGAGGAGGACGCCGAAGGUGGGGCUGAUGACUGGGGUGAAGUCGUAACAAGGUAGCCGUACCGGAAGGUGCGGCUGGAUCACCUCCUAACAGGGAUACAAUACGCGAUUGUGAUGUCUGAGUAUUUUAAUCUCAUUCCAUGAUCCUGUCAUCUCUAAGGUCGAUCGGUACCUCAAUGGAGACAUUAGAAAGCUUGCUAACCGUAAGGUGGGUAAGUUUGUCUGAUCUAUCUUUUCAGUUCCUAAACUUUGUCUAGGUCACCCAACAACGGGUAAACAAGCUCCUGGGCCAUUAGCUCAGGUGGUUAGAGCGCACCCCUGAUAAGGGUGAGGUCCCUGGUUCAAGUCCAGGAUGGCCCAUUCGUGUUUGGGGGUUUAGCUCAGUUGGUAGAGCGCCUGCUUUGCAAGCAGGAUGUCAGGAGUUCGAGUCUCCUAACCUCCAUCCAACGCUGACCCUUGAUUACGGAAGUUCCACAGGAGAACCAACAAGGGUGACUAGACGGUGCAAGCUGAGCGGAUAAGACUCCAGCCUCAUUGCAUGCCAAGCGUACAAUCAAAGCCUUUCAGGUUUUGAUGGAAGAGACGUGAGGUUGCAGCGAUGCUGGACUCAGCGCUUUCUGAGAACAGGAAGCGAUGACGUUCAAGCAAAGAACCUUGACAACUGCAUAGGUGAGUCUGGAAAUAAAGCAUCUCAUAGAUGCUUGGUUCCGAUGUCAAAGCCAACGUUGCUUGAGCAAUCAAGUGAUGAAAGCUGACGGCAAAAGAAUCAAGAAAGUUCUUGAGUUUAGAGCCGAGAGCUUCCAGUGUUCUUGACCACCGCCGAGGUGAGUCGAGUUUGAUCCAUGAUUCAAGCCAUUGUGAUCAGUGAAUGCUGAGAGCAGCGGAUGAAUCAUGAGAGAAUAGGUUUCAACAACCUGAAGCAUUGGG